AGUGAAGGCAAUGGUCCAAGAAAGUACAUGGACAUGCAGUCACCGAGGACAUCAUUGAAGUAAAUGCAGAGAAAGCAUAUAAAAAACUUUGUGGAGCAGGGACAACUAGUGUGACUAAAGUUUCCUCAUAGCUGUGGGUAGUUUGAGUUUUCGUGGUACUUCUCGACUGUUCCGUGCUAGGAACUCAAUCAUCUCAUAUUUAAUGCAGAAAGAUGGGUCAUCCAGGAAUAAAAGACUCCAAAGCCCAGUCAGAAGUCUGGAUUACAAAACAAAAAGUUUAAAAAGAAUCGCAUCCAAGAGUACAAACUUUCCCACCACAAAGUACGAAGGUCAGGCCAGAUCACAGACAUUGGCCUCUUACACGAUAUGGAACGUGAUGGUGAAGUGAGUGAUGAUGGAUUUCGUGCUGAUGGCGUACGACAUGGAGUGUUUGACAGGUACAAGAUCCCUUCUAGAGACAUUUGCAGUGUUAUCAAGAACUUAAAGCUCAACAGGCUACUGGUACUACUGCUGUAUAAGUCCUUCAUUACUCCCCUGAAGGAGGUAUUUUGAUGGUGGGGGUCUGAAGCUCUUCCAGAUCCCAUACCCUGCCAUAUUAUACACUGGAAUACCCACUUCUUAAUGUAUAUACAAAUGCCCUGAUGAAUAAUGUCCCCAUCACCUUAAACUCAAGAGGCAUUAGCAAGAAGUUUCCUCAUAGCUGUGGGUAGAUUGAGUUUUCGUGGUACUUCUCGACUGUUCCGUGCUAGGAACUCAAUCAUCUCAUAUUUAAUGCAGAAAGAUGGGUCAUCCAGGAAUAAAAGACUCCAAAGCCCAGUCAGAAGUCUGGAUUACAAAACAAAAAGUUUAAAAAGAAUCGCAUCCAAGAGUACAAACUUUCCCACCACAAAGUACGAAGGUCAGGCCAGAUCACAGACAUUGGCCUCUUACACGAUAUGGAACGUGAUGGUGAAGUGAGUGAUGAUGGAUUUCGUGCUGAUGGCAUACGACAUGGAGUGUUUGACAGGUAAAAGAUCCCUUCUAGAGACAUUUGCAGUGUUAUCAAGAACUUAAAGCUCAACAGGCUACUGGUACUACUGCUGUACAAGUCCUUCAUUACUCCCCUGAAGGAGGUAUUCUGAUGGUGGGGGUCUGAAGCUCUUCCAGAUCCCAUACCCUGCCAUAUUAUACACUGGAAUACCCACUUCUUAAUGUAUAUACAAAUGCCCUGAUGAAUAAUGUCCCCAUCACCUUAAACUCAAGAGGCAUUAGCAAGAAGUUUCCUCAUAGCUGUGGGUAGUUU
This is a long non-coding RNA of Homarus americanus (American lobster), 1282 nucleotides long. RefSeq lists it as uncharacterized. The record is from RefSeq and is a predicted model, not a curated record. The transcript has 3 exons. NCBI's taxonomy places the organism in Eukaryota, Metazoa, Arthropoda, Malacostraca, Decapoda, Nephropidae.